GUGGCAUAUGUACUAAUCAUAGUUUAAUUGGUCUCUCCUGGUCUGUGUUGGUACAGGUGUGAUGCAAAUAAAACAUAUAUGUGCAAUGGAAGUGAUUGGAAUUAUGGUCAACUGACAGGAGCCAUCAACCUUUCAGUGCUCGAAUAGCUGGUUUAUUGGAUAAGACAGGACAAUUACCACAACUGGCCUGUCAAGAUGGUUAGAGCUCCCUACAGGCAUUGAGGCAGGUGUUUGUGCCUUCAGUUUAAUCUCUUCCUUUCUGGUUCCAGGCUGGAUGCAGCUCUUGGCGCCAGCAGAAGUGUUUAUACAGAAAUGAGGGUCACCUGGAUGCCCAGCCCAGUGGAUCUGUGUGCUCAUUGCCAAACAAGGCAUGAGCUCCCUGUAAUGCAAGCUCGAUUUCUCUGGGGUAAAGGAGCCGGUGCCAAAGGUGGACAUGGAAGAAGGAGACAGUGGGGAUCUGCACAUGAAUGAAGAGACCUGAAUGUGGAGUAUUAGAGAAUUUAUUAAAGGAUUGGACAGUUUUCCUUUAUGGCCUUUGUGAAGCCUCGGAGUUACUAACUGCCAGUGCAAUAUGGUAUCACAAAGAUAACAGCCAUUACUAGAAGUUCAGUUUUCUAUUCCUACCUUGGAAAGCAGCAGCUUAACAAACCCAAGUGGUCAACGUUUAUGGUACUCCUGUCUUUCUUCUAGGACCCUUUGAAAUAUAUGUCUUUUGAAUUUAGUUUUGCUGGAAAAAUCUGCAUCCAAUUUGAAUGAAAUUGAAUAUGUUUCAGGGCUCAAGCAGCAUGCCUUCCAUCUGAAGCAAAAUGGAGAUGAAUUUCAAUUAGAUGUUCCCAUUAUAAUCUGUCUCCACCUGUAGUUUUCCAUAAAAAUUGCUAGGAAGUGUGGUAUAAUGUAUGAUCAGGAUUUGCCCACUGGCAGCAGUGUCCCAUUAUCUUAGCAAAAAGCACAAAAUAAUUAGUCUGAUGCAUAUAGAUAGCAGCUUCUUACAGCGAGUGACUUUAAUUGUGGUGAGUAAUAUAUACGGAGUUUGAAGUAUUAUAUAUUUCCCUCCCAAGAAGAUACCAAUUACUAAUUCAGUUGACAAAGUAACAAUAUUUCAGAAGAUUUAAUGCAAACUGAACAUUGUAGUCAAUAGCCACUGUAAAAUGUCCAUUUUAUGGUCUUAUUUUUGCCUGAGCUUAAUUUAUGGUAAUUUGGUAGUUGCAUAUAGCCUGGAAGUAUGCUGUUGGCUUGAAUUAGUACUUGGGUAUUGCAUAAAUCAUACUGAAUGUGUUGGCAUCAUCUAAUGCCCUUCUUUCUCCUACAUUUGGAAUCCUUCUUAUCUUGUCAUUUCUCUCUCCUCAAUCCUACCUGUAAAUUCAUGGGGCUCUAAGAGCUCAGUAUUUAGGAGAUCACUUCCUCAUAGAGUAGCAUCUUCCAAAUGCCAGAUAGAGUUCUGUGCUUCAGACGGAGGGAAUUUAGCAAAAAUUUUUUUUGUGGGAUAGAGUAUUUGUAUUAUCCCACCUUAAGUGCUUUAAAGGAAAAUACAAUUCCCUCUCCCUGUCCUAUUUGCCUCUAAAAUCCAUGCUAAUAUAAAAGGCAAGGUUUAAAAGUAUUAUAUUAUUUGAACUAAUUUUUCCAGUGCUGGUUUAUAUUAGUUUUUUCAAUUUUGUUUUUUAAUCUGAAACAUAGGACAAAUAUGCCAGCAUGCUCUAAGCUCACAGGUAAUCUACCUGGGGACCUAAAUAAUAUGAAUCAUCCAACUGUAUGGUAAGAUUUAGUUUAGGUGACUGGGCUUCAAAGAAAUACAUUGGAUGUUUCAGAACUAA
Leopardus geoffroyi (Geoffroy's cat) is the source of this 1811-nucleotide long non-coding RNA. RefSeq lists it as uncharacterized. The transcript has 2 exons. The record is from RefSeq and is a predicted model, not a curated record. Lineage: Eukaryota; Metazoa; Chordata; Mammalia; Carnivora; Felidae.